ACGAAGGGGGCUAGCGUUGCUCGGAAUUACUGGGCGUAAAGGGAGCGUAGGCGGACAUUUAAGUCAGUGGUGAAAUCCCGGGGCUCAACCUCGGAAUUGCCUUUGAUACUGGGUGUCUUGAGUAUGAGAGAGGUGUGUGGAACUCCGAGUGUAGAAGUGAAAUUCGUUGAUAUUCGGAAGAACCCCAGUGGCGAAGGCGGCACACUGGGUCAAUACCGACCCUGAGGCUCGAAAGCGUGGGGAGCAAACAG
This 251-nucleotide ribosomal RNA is filed under the name uncultured prokaryote. Its description in RNAcentral is "partial 16S rRNA". It matches the Rfam family "Bacterial small subunit ribosomal RNA", at positions 525 to 775 of the family's 1533-position model. The record is from RNAcentral.